Molecule: long non-coding RNA, 1407 nt
Organism: Salvia splendens (bonfire salvia)
Lineage: Eukaryota; Viridiplantae; Streptophyta; Magnoliopsida; Lamiales; Lamiaceae
Exons: 5
Source: RefSeq, a predicted model, not a curated record
GUCUCCAAGGAUCAAGUAGAGGUAGGCGCCUCUUUCUCCCUUCCCUCACAUCUCACGUCUAUCUCCCUCUCUCGUCCCCUUUCUCCCGGCUAGUCUUGGCGUCGCCGGCGAGCGACGCCGGACGCCGAUCGAUCUGCCUCCCUCUCGUUUAUCUGUCUCCCAAACUCUCCAUCCAACCGUCCCUCUCUCUCUCGGCCUCCCUCAGUCCCAGCCAGAAGUCGGCUGCUCCCCGUCGUCGCCGCUGCCGCUGACGGAGUACAGAAACUCUGGCCGAGAUUUACAAUGACAAAAAGAGGUCGUCCGUCGCGAUCUCAAUCAACAUAGGCUGCAGAGAAGCAGCUAUGACUGGAAAUCGACGAAGUAGUCGAUGAUGUUAUUCCAGUAGCCCUACCACAAAAAUUUAGGGAACGAUUGGCCGAGGCAGGCCCAAGUACGGCUCCAGAACAGGGUGAGCAGAAGAAAGCCAGAGGAAGAAAGGUCGACCAUCUGAAUUCCUCAACUGCUUGAAAACGUUGACUCCAAGACAGAAGGUAGUUGUUUCAGAAAUUGACUUCGGUGCGAUACUGCAUUUCGACCUAAAGGAGAUUCCUGGUUAUUUGGCCUACUAAGUGUUCAACGCCCUUAAUCUAGCACGAUACCAGAUACAGCUGACGGGGGGUGAGAGCCUGACCCUCGACGAGGAAAACGUCCAUUUGACGUUGGGGGUUUCCGAGAGGGCCGACACCAAUCUCAAGGCCGUUCGACAAACAGACCACCUUCGCCUUCAACGACAUGGUUGCUGAAAGGUGUCAGAAGGGUCGUUUUAAAAUGACCCCAAAGGACAUAGCUCAGCUCAUGAUGGUGGAAGUUGACGGUGGGGAAGAGUUCAAGAAGCUCUUUAUGUUCCUCCUCGAGAAUGUUGUAACUGAGACUCCCAGCGACGGCAACUGCAAGCCAAAGAUUCGUCAUUUCAUCGACGAUGUUGAUGAGAUAAGGAACAUGAAUUGGUGAGAUUACGUCCUCUCCGUGCUCGAGGCCACUCACCCCAGCUGGGCAAACGGCCAAAGUGUGUCAUUCACCGAACCUAUACAUUUCCUGGUGCAUCAAGUGUCGUGGAUAGAGAAGGAGGAACAAGUGCCCGACUAGAUUACUUAUCAUAAAGGAAUAAGAUAUCAGUGAGGUUUUGGUUGACGUGGGUCGUAGGAACUGCACGUGUUAUCAGGUUCGGCGGCUGACGCGUUUUGGCAACCUUCUCCUCCCCAUCAUUUUUCCAUAUAGAUAAAUGUAUAGUAUAUAGAGUGGUGAGAGGGUCUCACUACUGUUCAGAAUGUUUUAAAAUAUGUAUCUAAUAAAUGUUGGUUUUUGAACUUAUUAAUAUAUGUGUUUUACGUAGUUGACACGUGGAUUAUUUAUUUUAAAUUUUGGAUU